UGCAGGGGGAAAGAACAUUUGCGAUCUUUUUUGCGACUCGCCCAAAAACGGGCAGAAAACCUAGAGUUUCGUCAGGCUCAUAACCUGAAGGUCGCAGGUUCAAAUCCUGCCCCCGCAACCA
RNAcentral lists this transfer RNA (121 nucleotides) under Alphaproteobacteria bacterium. RNAcentral's name for it is "tRNA-Met". The stretch from base 50 to 113 matches the Rfam family "tRNA", at positions 5 to 66 of the family's 71-position model. From Rfam's summary of the family: Transfer RNA (tRNA) molecules are approximately 80 nucleotides in length. Their secondary structure includes four short double-helical elements and three loops (D, anti-codon, and T loops). The record is from RNAcentral. Lineage: Bacteria; Pseudomonadati; Pseudomonadota; Alphaproteobacteria.